RNAcentral lists this small RNA (28 nucleotides) under Bombyx mori (domestic silkworm). RNAcentral's name for it is "piRNA piR-bmo-2212423". Lineage: Eukaryota; Metazoa; Arthropoda; Insecta; Lepidoptera; Bombycidae. The record is from RNAcentral.
UGGAUACUACGUCGUGCACUUUGUCUGC